RNAcentral lists this unclassified non-coding RNA (1534 nucleotides) under Hevea brasiliensis (rubber tree). Lineage: Eukaryota; Viridiplantae; Streptophyta; Magnoliopsida; Malpighiales; Euphorbiaceae. The record is from RNAcentral.
GCCAACCCAAGUGCAACUCAGCAACGGAUUUUAAUGGAGUCUGGCUGUAGCUUAAGAACCCUAAACGCCAUAAGCCCUUUACCCUUCCAUUUCCGUUCAAGAACCCUUCUUUUGCGUCCCUUCUACUUAUCCCAAUUCAGGAAGAGGCAUUUCCACUCGUUCCUUUCUUUCUCCCAACGCUUCUCUCCUCUAUGUUCUGUGUCUGAAAGAGGAAAUGGGAAUUCUUUGCCCAGUGGAGUGGGCGAGGCUGUUAGUGAAGUCCCACGAAAUAAGCUUCUUCAAGUGGUAUUAGUUUCUCCCCAGAUUCCAGGAAACACAGGUUGCAUUGCCAGAACAUGUGCAGCAUCAGCUGUUGGACUACACUUAGUUGGGGUGACUAUUGCCGACUGACAAUUAGUUCCUUUUUUUCCUUCAAUUUAUUUAUCAAUAAGUUUGUAUUAGCAGAAAGAUAAAUAAUUUUCCUCUAUCCUUGAACUUCAUCGCUGUAUUUGGUAUUAUUUUUUGCCUUUUGAUGUGCAUCUCUUCCUCUUUCAGCCCUUGGGAUUCCAAGUUGACAGUACAAAACUAAAGCGCGCUGGACUAGAUUACUGGCCGUAUCCUUGUAUAUCUUCUAUAUGAGAUCCUUUCCAUUGGAUUUCCACUCUCAGUUUUUUGUUCUGCUAUAAAUAGAUACGUGCCUGGGUUUUAAAGAACAUGCUGCUUAAUAUGAUAAUCAACGACGCAAAGACAUUAGUCUUUCUUUUUUUUUUUUUAAAUAUUUAAAAGUUUAAGUGAUAGCAUAUUCUGCUUCCUUCAAUAUAUGGACAAAGAAAAUACUGUUUUUCUUUUUCUGUUGUGGUUCGUGAAACCUUUUGUUUUUGAGAGGCCUACCUCUAAUGCUUUAUACAAAACCCACAUAUUAGCCUGUUUACGACGUCUCCUCUAGCAUUAUUAUGGUUCGUUAUCUGAUAUUCAACUCCUAUUACAAUUAUCGUUAUAUAGCUUAUUGCCUGUCUUAAAUUAACUGUUUUAGAUAUGUGGUUGUAAAAGUUCAUGACUCCUGGGCAGAGUUUCGAGAAUACUUCAGGCAACAGGAAGGUGAAAAGCGUUUGUUAGCAUUUACUAAAAGAGGAACAACAACUCAUUCAGAAUUCUCCUAUAGAAAAGGCGAUUACCUCAUUUUUGGCUCAGAAACGAGCGGCUUACCACCUGAAGCUUUACUGGACUGUAAAAGCGAAACCAUUGGCGGUGGAACCAUUCGGAUUCCAAUGGUUGAAACAUAUGUUAGAUGUCUGAAUCUCUCUGUGAGUGUUGGAAUUGCUUUGUAUGAAGCUUCAAGACAGCUAAACUAUGAGCAGCUUAAAUUCCCUUCCGAAACUUGGUUGAAUAACGAUCAAUCAUUUAUUACUGAGGAUAUAUUUGCUUGAUUCUACUGUGUCAUUAUUUUCUUCCCAAACCUGUAAUUGCAGGAAUAGAACUUUUGGGUUGAGAAUAGAUGCAUCAUUUGUUAUGCUGUAAUUUCAAUUUCAAUUUCAAUCCUUUGAAGAGAUUAUAA